UACGUAGGGUGCAAGCGUUGUCCGGAUUUAUUGGGCGUAAAGAGCUCGUAGGCGGUUUGGCAAGUCGGGUGUGAAACCUCCAGGCUCAACCUGGAGUCGCCAUCCGAUACUGCUAUGACUUGAGUCUGGUAGGGGAUCACGGAAUUCCGGUGUAGCGGUGAAAUGCGUAGAUAUCGGAAGGAACACCAGUGGCGAAAGCGGCUUCCUGGUCCGACACCGACGUUCAGGCACGAAAGCGUGGGGAGCAAACAGG
RNAcentral lists this ribosomal RNA (253 nucleotides) under uncultured bacterium. Its description in RNAcentral is "partial 16S ribosomal RNA". It matches the Rfam family "Bacterial small subunit ribosomal RNA", at positions 524 to 776 of the family's 1533-position model. The record is from RNAcentral.